AUUGAACGCUGGCGGCAGGCCUAACACAUGCAAGUCGAACGGUAACAGGAAGAAGCUUGCUUCUUUGCUGACGAGUGGCGGACGGGUGAGUAAUGUCUGGGAAACUGCCUGAUGGAGGGGGAUAACUACUGGAAACGGUAGCUAAUACCGCAUAACGUCGCAAGACCAAAGAGGGGGACCUUCGGGCCUCUUGCCAUCGGAUGUGCCCAGAUGGGAGUAGCUAGUAGGUGGGGUAACGGCUCACCUAGGCGACGAUCCCUAGCUGGUCUGAGAGGGUGACCGGAAAGAGGGGAAGAGAGACACGGUGAAGACGCAUACGGGAGGCAGCAGUAGGUAAUGGUGCGAAAUGGGAGAAGGCCUGAAGGAGCAACGCAGCGGGAGGGAGGAAGGACUUCGGAUAGGAAAACUCUGUUAUUAGGGAAGAACAAAUGUGUAAGGAAAAAUGCAGGUCUUGACGGGAACUAAUAAGAAAGCCACGGCUAACGACGUG
This 490-nucleotide ribosomal RNA is filed under the name uncultured bacterium. RNAcentral's name for it is "partial 16S ribosomal RNA". It matches the Rfam family "Bacterial small subunit ribosomal RNA", at positions 29 to 507 of the family's 1533-position model. The record is from RNAcentral.